UACGUAGGGCGCGAGCGUUGUCCGGAUUUAUUGGGCGUAAAGAGCUCGUAGGCGGCUUGUCGCGUCGACUGUGAAAACCCGCGGCUCAACUGCGGGCCUGCAGCCGAUACGGGCAGGCUAGAGUUCGGUAGGGGAGACUGGAAUUCCUGGUGUAGCGGUGAAAUGCGCAGAUAUCUGGAGGAACACCGGUGGCGAAGGCGGCAUCCUGGACCGGCAUUGACGCUGAGGAGCGAAAGCCAGGGGAGCAAACGGG
This 253-nucleotide ribosomal RNA is filed under the name uncultured bacterium. Its description in RNAcentral is "partial 16S ribosomal RNA". It matches the Rfam family "Bacterial small subunit ribosomal RNA", at positions 524 to 776 of the family's 1533-position model. The record is from RNAcentral.